Molecule: ribosomal RNA, 254 nt
Filed under: uncultured bacterium
Lineage: Bacteria
Description: partial 16S ribosomal RNA
Rfam family: Bacterial small subunit ribosomal RNA
Source: RNAcentral
UACAGAGGGUGCGAGCGUUGUUCGGAAUUACUGGGCGUAAAGCGCGCGCAGGCGGCUUCUUAAGUCCGAUGGUGAAAGACCGGGGCUCAACCCCGUGUCAGCCAGGGAUACUGGGAGGCUGGAGACAGGUAGAGGCAAGCGGAAUUCCGGGUGUAGCGGUGGAAUGCGUAGAGAUCCGGAAGAACACCGGAGGCGAAGGCGGCUUGCUGGACCUGGUCUGACGCUGAGGCGCGAAAGCGUGGGGAGCGAACAGG